Non-coding RNA from Taeniopygia guttata (zebra finch), 3704 nucleotides. Lineage: Eukaryota; Metazoa; Chordata; Aves; Passeriformes; Estrildidae. The record is from RefSeq and is a predicted model, not a curated record.
UCACUGCCUGUGUCAGAAGGCAAAUGGGACCAAUCAACUUGUGAGCUGCUGAGUGACACCCUGAGUCCUGCCUCUGAAACUUUUGUUAUUUUUUCCCCUCCGCCUACUUCAAUUGUUUCCACAACUUGGUCACAGACUCAGAAAAGUUGCCAGAGAUCUACAGGCACGUCCCACAGCCCGGAGCAAGCUCCUCUGUGCUUCACUAAGUCACACCAGGGGUGGGUGACAGUGCCAUGGAGGAUUAACAAGCAAGCAAAAGGUACUGGUAAAUCAGAUUAUCUGCCCUGUCAGUACCAGCCAGCAGGACUAUCCAGAUCUCCUGGCUGAAAGGUAUUUGAGAAAAAAAGCUUGUAGAAGCAUCCAGAAUACUUUUCCAGAAAAAAACCCCAAACAACUAGCUAUUGUAAGCAUAUAUUUUUUUCUUAAGUGGAAGAAACUAAAAACCAGGGAAAGAGCUGUGGACACAAUGCAAUUUAUGUGAACCUACAUGGCUUAGUACUGAAGGAGCAACCCUAAGCCACAAUUAAGAGUCUGCUGCAGGCACAAGAGGGCAGAUUGAUACAUAUUAUGGAUCUGGCCAACAACAGAGGUCUCAACCUGCUACUUAACUUUCUGCUCAUUGUCUUGGUCCUAGUGCUUGCAUUUAUCCUUGUGAAGCUGAUAUGAACCUCUGCAAGGCGCUGCUUCCUUCUCAGAUUUUGUCCCGUGGAUUUUGCAACGAUAAUGUAGACACUUUCGACUACCUGAAUCUAAGUACAUGAAGACUGCAGAGGCUGAAAUAUCCAACAGUUACAGAGAAUGUGCUCAUACCCCAAAUUUAUCAGAAAACAAUCCUAAGAGCUGUGUACAAGCUAUGCACCUGCAACAGAGUGAAGAAAGCACCUACAGCCUCGUUGAGUAUCUGAAGAAACCCAAGAAUGCAUCAGCAGCUACUGUAGUUUCUCAUUGAUACAGCUGAUUGUUAUUUAAAGACCUACAAAUUAUUUGCAGCAUUCAAAGAACAUAAUGUCUGCAGAAAGGGGACAGCAGAAAUCAAAUUUUUAAAAUGGGAUUUCUCUGGUAUUUCCAUUUACUUUAUGGGAAAUGACAGCAGGAGGGCAAACCAAAAUGCCAGCUUUGAGUUGACAGCACACAUCAAAUUACCUGUGGAGAGAAAAGCACAGCUGCUGUAAAUAGAAACAAAAAUAUCCCUGAAGAGCAGCUUGCAGUAGCAGAGAUGGAGAUAAGUGAAGGUCAAAUAUGAAAAUGUUAUUAUUAUUUAGACCUUUUUUUGACCACCUGUGGUUCACUGUAACAUCAUAAAAGCAAGAAGCCUUCUGUUAUCCAUCAUAUCAAAAGAAGCAGCUGUCAAAACGACUGAAAAACAAAGGACCAUUACCCAGGGUUAUAACUCUGGCCAGGAAACCCUUAGCACCAGCACAUACACCAACAGCAGGCACACUGCACAAACCCAAGAUGCAUUACAACCUCAGUAAGAGGAUUUACCACUUAUGCACAGGUCAAGUGAGCAGUGUGGGAGCCCUCCAGCCGUAUUUGACAGACCACUCACUACUUGCCAGUGCAAUCAUCAGUCCAUAGCCUGUCCUCACCUCUUGGCAUGCAUCAAAAACUUCUUACAGGACCUUUUUUUGUGGCUCUUUACAGGGUGAUGUACUUUACCCACAGGGUCCUGGGAAGGACACUGACCAACAAGAGCACGCUUCUGUUCGAAUGAUUUUCCAGAAGGUAGAGCUAAAAACAUGAGAAGUGCUGGGAAAGGAGUGGACCAGAAGCAGCUUUCAUACAUUGCACUGGAGCCAAACAACUUUCUCUUAGCAUCUCACUUUCCCAAGUGAAACACAGGAACCAACCACAGGAAUCACCAAGUGUGCACCAAAAAUAUACAGCAAAUUUAUUGCCAUAGAUAUUCAUACUAACACAUGUGCAAAAGAGGCAGAUGUUGUUUCAUGGAUGGGGGAAGCCCCAGCUCCAGCUUCCUACUGCAAACAGCACAUCCCUGAUUCAGCACAUACAUUGCUGAGUGCUAAGUGUAUUAUAGAGCUGAUCUAUUUAUGUUCAUAGAACUUCCAUAUGAUCACUACUGUUAUUCAGUUAUCUGCAGGAGACUCAUCUAAACUGGCUCUAUGAAUAGACUUUUCACAGGAAAAGGCAGUAUGCCCAGCAAACCCGAAAGCUUAAGGAAAUCCUGCCAUUAAUAAGCAUCCACAUUCCACUCUACACUACCUGCUCCAUAGCUUACAGAGCAUUAGUGUGCUGGUUUAUCUGGAAUAAAGUUAAUUUUCUUCAUGGCAUAGUAGCAAGGAUGGGUCUACGGACCCAUAAGUUUGGUAUAAGUACAAAGUGUAGCUACUACGAAGGAAAUUGUCUCUGCUCCAGCCAAACCAGCACAGUUGCCUAGAGCAGCACAGAUAGUUAAAAGGAAAGUUUUUUUCUCACUUGCUCUGAAAUAUGUGCAAUAACCACUUGAAAUGGCUUCUGCAAACUCCAUACCCACAGUUUUUUGAAGUUUAUAGUUAUAGCAGUAUGAAUUCCAAUCUGUUUGCAUUUAAAGCAGAAAAAUUUGCACACCUACAUCACAACAAGCAGUUCUUUUAUAAUCUUGAAAGACUGCUUAAAAAAAAUCUGUAUAUUUAUAUACCAGAUAUAUGUGGUAAUGGUUAUAUAGUUUUGUAUUACUUAGGAGAUGUAAUACAAAGAUGGUUCAAAGCACACCAAAAACACUGAAACAAAAAGCAAACCCACUCUAGCCCAAAGCAAAAUAAGAACAGUUUUCCCAACAAAAUGGUUAUUCACUGACAUACUGUUUGGGACUACCCAAAGCUUAUUGUCUAUAUGACCUUUUCUAUAUUCAGAAGUUUCCAGAUCUUAGGGAAACCACUGUGACACCAGUUGGCCCUGACAAAACAGUAAGAUCAACUAUUCCUUUUUAAUAAAUUGAGGAAGAUGAGCCUGCUGCCAACAACGAGCAUGUAUUUCCAGAUCAAAAAUUACAUACCAAGGAAGUCUGUGAGAAACUUUGCCAUCAGAGCGUGGAGAAACAAUCCCCAGAUACAAUCUCGGUAGUCUCCUCUCAGCCAGCAACGAACUGACAGAAUCCUCAACAAAUGCUGAAAUACGCUGCUGAAACUGAAACAUGCAUUUUCCAGAGAUGACAUAUAAAGCUGGCAAAGUUAGCAGCUAACCAAUGCCAAGGCUUUUUUUGCAAUCAACCAAGUUUAGUUUCCCGAUCAUUUGCUAGCACUCCAGACUGAACCUACAAGCACCUUAUAAUGAAUGGAAUCCCAUUUGCUGGGCUACCAACUCCACAGCAAAAUGAACAGACCAUAAAAGCUUAGUUAUGGCUCACAGUAAAGGAGUUCACUCUGCUUGCUAAAAGUGAUAAUCUCUCACACUGAGUUUUCUAUCCCUGAAAAGUUUCAUCAAAACGUGAUCUAGGAAAAUUGCUGAUAUUAAUAAUUUUAAUUUUCUGAUCUGACAGGAUUGCAAAAAAACCCUAGCUUUGAGUUGACAUUUAGGAAUAAAAUCUUCUGUGGUAACGAUGUCAUCUCAGAAAUCUUAUGGCUUUUCUUUCAAUUAAGGUUUUACAGCUUGGUUUACCGAUGUUUAGAUAUGCACACAGUUUACUUACUUCCUUUCUGCUUUGCAACAAAAAUUGUUCUAAUAAUUCGAAACUUCUCAUUACAUUAAAACUUAAUUUCCAGCAA